UGCUUCUGAUAAAGCCUGCGUAGCUGCCCUUUAUAAGUAGCGUUGACGUCUGGGUCCCGCGCAAUGGGAACUGCGAACCGUGUCAGGAUGGGAACAUAGCAGCACUAAGCAGAUCCUCCCAUGUGCCGUGGGGUUACCUGGGCCGAGCCGGCUGUAGAGGUAACGUACGUGGGCCUUAUCAGGAGCA
RNAcentral lists this signal recognition particle RNA (187 nucleotides) under Candidatus Merdinaster equi. RNAcentral's name for it is "signal recognition particle sRNA large type". It matches the Rfam family "Bacterial large signal recognition particle RNA", at positions 66 to 246 of the family's 256-position model. From Rfam's summary of the family: The signal recognition particle (SRP) is a universally conserved ribonucleoprotein involved in the co-translational targeting of proteins to membranes. Archaeal SRP consists of a 7S RNA and homologues of the eukaryotic SRP19 and SRP54 proteins. Lineage: Bacteria; Bacillati; Bacillota; Clostridia; Lachnospirales; Lachnospiraceae. The record is from RNAcentral.